RNAcentral lists this ribosomal RNA (390 nucleotides) under uncultured bacterium. Its description in RNAcentral is "bacterial SSU rRNA". It matches the Rfam family "Bacterial small subunit ribosomal RNA", at positions 29 to 402 of the family's 1533-position model. The record is from RNAcentral.
AGCGAACGCUGGCGGCGUACUUAACACAUGCAAGUCGAACGGGGAUCGUCAGUGUAGCAAUACAUCGGCGGUUCUAGUGGCGCACGGGUGAGUAACACGUGGGUAACCUGCCCUUGAGUUCGGGAUACCCUUUCGAAAGGAAGGCUAAUACCGGAUACGUUCCUCGGAUUGCCAAAUCUGGGGAGGAAAGGUGGCGCAAGCUGCCGCUCUUGGAGGGGCUCGCGGCCUAUCAGCUAGUGGUGAGGUAACGGCUCACCAAGGCUAUGACGGGUAGCUGGUCUGAGAGGACGACCAGCCACACGGGAACUGAGACACGGUCCCGACUCCUACGGGAGGCAGCAGUGGGGAAUUUUCCGCAAUGGGCGAAAGCCUGACGGAGUGACGCCGCGU